GCCGCGAUGUGCCAUCCAUCCCAUCGAUUAGUGCUUAUCGAGCCGUCUGGCGGCUCCGUGCUCUCGCCGCACCCAGCAUCCUUCCAAAUCCCUUCCCGAACUCACCUCCUCGAACCCUAGGGCCACAACACACCUUGUUGCCUCCACCUGAAUCUUUGUAGCGAGACGGCGGCUGCAGACCAUAGUCCUGUUGAGGAUG
This 199-nucleotide long non-coding RNA is filed under the name Sorghum bicolor (sorghum). Its description in RNAcentral is "long non-coding RNA (SBIC_LNC003039)". The record is from RNAcentral. Lineage: Eukaryota; Viridiplantae; Streptophyta; Magnoliopsida; Poales; Poaceae.